AAUACCCUGCUAUGUGCGUGGUUGCUUUGAAGUUUUGAUCCAACAAGAUCAAAAGGGAGCCCGGCUCUGAUUGUGGCUUGUACGCCUAAUUUAGGACACAACAGGCAGUCAGGAGGACACCCACCUAGUUAGACUGGGUUCAGAAAACUUGGGUAAUCACGGCAUUGGUGGGGUUACU
RNAcentral lists this non-coding RNA (178 nucleotides) under Desulfotomaculum sp. RNAcentral describes it as "6S RNA". It matches the Rfam family "6S / SsrS RNA". From Rfam's summary of the family: E. coli 6S RNA was the first non coding RNA to be sequenced, but its function was unknown until recently. Lineage: Bacteria; Bacillati; Bacillota; Clostridia; Eubacteriales; Desulfotomaculaceae. The record is from RNAcentral.